AGCGCACCCCUAUCCUUAUUUGCCAGCGCAUAAUGGCGGGAACUAUAAGGAGACUGCCGGUCAUAAACCGGAGGAAGGCGGGGACGACGUCAAGUCAUCAUGGCCCUUAUGGGUAGGGCUACACACGUGAUACAAUGGGUGGUACAGAGGGUCGCCAAAGCGCGAGCUGGAGCCAAACCCUUAAAACCAUUCUUAGUCCGGAUUGGAGUCUGCAACUCGACUCCAUGAAGUCGGAAUCGCUAGUAAUCGCGAAUCAGAAUGUCGCGGUGAAUACGUUCUCGGGCCUUGUACACACCGCCCGUCACAUCACGGAAGUGGGUUGCACCAGAAGUGGCUUGUUUAACCUUCGGGAAAACGGUCACCACGGUGUGAUUCACAACUGGGACGAAGUCGUAACAAGGUAGCCCUAGGGGAACCUGGGGCUGGAUCA
RNAcentral lists this ribosomal RNA (430 nucleotides) under uncultured marine bacterium 311. RNAcentral describes it as "bacterial SSU rRNA". It matches the Rfam family "Bacterial small subunit ribosomal RNA", at positions 1095 to 1525 of the family's 1533-position model. The record is from RNAcentral.